AGAAUAAGCUCUAUUUUUGUCUCCAUUUAAAUUUUAUAAGUAUUUUAUCAGUUUGAUGCACCCAAAGGAUGUUACUCGGUGUUUUCUCACUGUGCAUUGGCGCAAAUAUCGAGAAUUUGGCAGAUCGCCUUGGCAACCGUUGCCAGGUCAACACAGACAACAACAGAGCAAUAACAAAAGCAAUUGCGUGUGCAGUGCAAUUGAAUAUCUCGAUUCGAGCCUGACCUAAACGGAAAUUGUUGGCCUGUGUCAAUAUACAAUUGGCCAAAAAGGACAACAAAUAAUAUCACAUAAUUUAUCAAUAAAUUCAAGGCUUUCUGUGUUUCAACAAA
Molecule: long non-coding RNA, 332 nt
Organism: Drosophila innubila
Lineage: Eukaryota; Metazoa; Arthropoda; Insecta; Diptera; Drosophilidae
Exons: 2
Source: RefSeq, a predicted model, not a curated record